Molecule: ribosomal RNA, 433 nt
Filed under: uncultured bacterium
Lineage: Bacteria
Description: partial 16S ribosomal RNA
Rfam family: Bacterial small subunit ribosomal RNA
Source: RNAcentral
AACGAACGCUGGCGGCAUGCCUAACACAUGCAAGUCGAACGAGACCUUCGGGUCUAGUGGCGCACGGGUGCGUAACGCGUGGGAACCUGCCCUUAGGUUCCGAAUACCUCCCCGUAAGGGGUGCUAAUACCGGAUAAUGUCUUCGGACCAAAGAUUUAUCGCCUUUGGAUGGGCCCGCGUUGGAUUAGCGAGUUGGUAGGGUAAAAGCCUACCAAGGCGACGAUCCAUAGCUGGUCGGAGAGGAUGAUCAGCCACACUGGGCCUGAGACACGGCCCAGACUCCUACGGGAAGCAGCAGAGGGGAAUAUUGGAAGAGGGGGGAAGGCCUGAUCCAGCAAUGCCGGGUAAGUGAUGAAGGCGGUAGGGUUGUAAAGCUCUUUUACCCGGGAUGAUAAUGACGGUACCGGGAGAAUAAGCACCGGCUAACUCCGUG